This 970-nucleotide ribosomal RNA is filed under the name Stephanurus dentatus. Its description in RNAcentral is "large subunit ribosomal RNA". Lineage: Eukaryota; Metazoa; Nematoda; Chromadorea; Rhabditida; Stephanuridae. The record is from RNAcentral.
UAAUUGUUUGUUUUAUAUUUGUUGGUAUUGCAUAUCAUUUAAGGAAAAUUUUAUUGGAAUAAAAUAUAGAAAUAAAAGGUAGAGGGAUCGUUGGUUUUAUUGUUUCAUAAUAAAAAUAACGGAUCUUUAGGGUUGAAAAGUCGACUUUUAGGAUAUCUGUGUGGUUGCGUAAAUUAGAAAUUUAUUUUUUAUAUUUUGAUUUUUACAGUAAAUAUGAGUUGAAGUGUCUUUAUUAUUAGUUUUAUAACUGUUUGUUUUUUGUUUUGUUGGUUUUGGUUUUGUUUUAAGAGUAAGUAAUAAGUUUUUAUUAUUUAGAUUAUUUUAAAAUUAGUAGUUUUUUAAGUUAAGUUUGGGUUUUUAAUAUAAUAAAAUAACUAGAGUGUCAAUCAAAUGUUUUUUAAAGACUUAGAUUUUUAUAUAAAGUUUGCUUCUGCCCAGUGAUUUUUGUUAAACGGCAGUCUUAGCGUGAGGACAUUAAGGUAGCAAAAUAAUUUGUGCUUUUAUUGGGUUCCAGUAUGAAUGAAGUUAUUGGUUGAUUAUUUUUUAGUUUUUUUAUGAAUUUUAUAUCAGUAUAAGAAAGUAUUGUUAUAGUGACACAAAGAUAAGUCUUCGGAAAUUCUUUUUUAAAAUUAACAAAUUUGUUAAUUUUAAAAAUUUUCUAGGGCAGAAUUUUAUGUAAAUGUUUUGAUCUAUGUAUAAUUAUGAGAAUUACUCCGGAGUUAACAGAAAAUCAUAUCUGAUCUAGUUCUUAUAGUAAGAUAAGUUUUACAUCGAUGUUGUAUUUGAGUUUAUUAAAAAGGGAGAAGAUUUAAAUUUUAAGACUGUUCUUCUUUUAAUUAGCUUAACGUGAUAUUAGUUUAAUUCAUUGUGAGAUAGAAUUGUUUAUCUUGGUCAUUAUUAUUUGUUAAUUUUAAUAGUACGAAAGGAAAAUUAAAAAAAGUUUUAAACUUUAUAAGGACAGAGGUCUUUU